CUUGGUCAUUUAGAGGAAGUAAAAGUCGUAACAAGGUUUCCGUAGGUGAACCUGCGGAAGGAUCAUUAUUGAAAUAAACCUGAUGGGUUGUUGCUGGUUCUCUAGGGAGCAUGUGCACGCCUUGUCAUCUUUAUAUCUCCACCUGUGCACCUUUUGUAGACCUUCUAGGUCUAUGUUUCUUCAUUUACCCCAAUGUAUGUUAAUAGAAUGUUGUGACUAUAAAAAUAUAUACAACUUUCAGCAACGGAUCUCUUGGCUCUCGCAUCGAUGAAGAACGCAGCGAAAUGCGAUAAGUAAUGUGAAUUGCAGAAUUCAGUGAAUCAUCGAAUCUUUGAACGCACCUUGCGCUCCUUGGUAUUCCGAGGAGCAUGCCUGUUUGAGUGUCAUUAAUAUAUCAACCUUCACUUGUUGAAUGGUUUGGAUGUGGGGGUUUGCUGGUCUCUUAAAGGGUUCAGCUCCUCUGAAAUGCAUUAGCAGAACAAUCUGUUCAUUGGUGUGAUAACUAUCUACGCUCUUGAAUAAGAUGCAGUUCAGCUUUCUAACUGUCCUUGGACAAUUUAUCAUUUAUGUGACCUCAAAUCAGGUAGGACUUUUUUCUGAACUUAAGCAUAUCAAUAAGCGGAGGA
RNAcentral lists this ribosomal RNA (626 nucleotides) under uncultured Cortinarius. Its description in RNAcentral is "eukaryotic LSU rRNA". The stretch from base 233 to 386 matches the Rfam family "5.8S ribosomal RNA". Lineage: Eukaryota; Fungi; Basidiomycota; Agaricomycetes; Agaricales; Cortinariaceae. The record is from RNAcentral.